UGUAUCUGUGCUAGCACAAAAAGAUUUUAAAAUUUAUUUCAAUAAAGAUUUUUAUUCUAUUUAUUUAUGAAAUAAAUUGAUCGCACGAGAUCUUUUAAUUGACAGUCUCUAUCACUUGCAUGUUGAUGCGAAUGUGAACCUAAAUGAGCAAAUAGUGAGUGUCAUAGGCCAAAACAGAACUAGAGAUAAAAUUAACCAGAAGUACUUGUGGCACCAUAGAUUAGGCC
This 227-nucleotide long non-coding RNA is filed under the name Elaeis guineensis (African oil palm). RNAcentral's name for it is "long non-coding RNA (EGUI_LNC061628)". The record is from RNAcentral. Lineage: Eukaryota; Viridiplantae; Streptophyta; Magnoliopsida; Arecales; Arecaceae.